CUAUACUGCACGUCGAGCGGACAGAAGGGAGCUUGCUCCCGGAUGUUAGCGGCGGACGGGUGAGUAACACGUGGGUAACCUGCCUGUAAGACUGGGAUAACUCCGGGAAACCGGAGCUAAUACCGGAUAGUUCCUUGAACCGCAUGGUUCAAGGAUGAAAGACGGUUUCGGCUGUCACUUACAGAUGGACCCGCGGCGCAUUAGCUAGUUGGUGAGGUAACGGCUCACCAAGGCGACGAUGCGUAGCCGACCUGAGAGGGUGAUCGGCCACACUGGGACUGAGACACGGCCCAGACUCCUACGGGAGGCAGCAGUAGGGAAUCUUCCGCAAUGGACGAAAGUCUGACGGAGCAACGCCGCGUGAGUGAUGAAGGUUUUCGGAUCGUAAAGCUCUGUUGUUAGGGAAGAACAAGUGCAAGAGUAACUGCUUGCACCUUGACGGUACCUAACCAGAAAGCCACGGCUAACUACGUGCCAGCAGCCGCGGUAAUACGUAGGUGGCAAGCGUUGUCCGGAAUUAUUGGGCGUAAAGGGCUCGCAGGCGGUUUCUUAAGUCUGAUGUGAAAGCCCCCGGCUCAACCGGGGAGGGUCAUUGGAAACUGGGAAACUUGAGUGCAGAAGAGGAGAGUGGAAUUCCACGUGUAGCGGUGAAAUGCGUAGAGAUGUGGAGGAACACCAGUGGCGAAGGCGACUCUCUGGUCUGUAACUGACGCUGAGGAGCGAAAGCGUGGGGAGCGAACAGGAUUAGAUACCCUGGUAGUCCACGCCGUAAACGAUGAGUGCUAAGUGUUAGGGGGUUUCCGCCCCUUAGUGCUGCAGCUAACGCAUUAAGCACUCCGCCUGGGGAGUACGGUCGCAAGACUGAAACUCAAAGGAAUUGACGGGGGCCCGCACAAGCGGUGGAGCAUGUGGUUUAAUUCGAAGCAACGCGAAGAACCUUACCAGGUCUUGACAUCCUCUGACAACCCUAGAGAUAGGGCUUUCCCUUCGGGGACAGAGUGACAGGUGGUGCAUGGUUGUCGUCAGCUCGUGUCGUGAGAUGUUGGGUUAAGUCCCGCAACGAGCGCAACCNUUGAUCUUAGUUGCCAGCAUUCAGUUGGGCACUCUAAGGUGACUGCCGGUGACAAACCGGAAGGAAGGUGGGGAUGACGUCCAAAUCAUCAUGCCCCUUAU
Molecule: ribosomal RNA, 1173 nt
Filed under: Bacillus altitudinis
Lineage: Bacteria; Bacillati; Bacillota; Bacilli; Caryophanales; Bacillaceae
Description: bacterial SSU rRNA
Rfam family: Bacterial small subunit ribosomal RNA
Source: RNAcentral